RNAcentral lists this ribosomal RNA (520 nucleotides) under uncultured bacterium. RNAcentral describes it as "bacterial SSU rRNA". It matches the Rfam family "Bacterial small subunit ribosomal RNA", at positions 8 to 518 of the family's 1533-position model. The record is from RNAcentral.
AGAGUUUGAUCCUGGCUCAGGAUGAACGCUAGCUACAGGCUUAACACAUGCAAGUCGAGGGGCAGCAUACGAAAGCUUGCUUUGUUGAUGGCGACCGGCGCACGGGUGAGUAACGCGUAUCCAACCUUCCCUGUAGUAGAGAAUAGCCCGGCGAAAGUCGGAUUAAUGCUCUAUGUUGUAUUUCGAUGACAUCUGAAGAAUACCAAAGGCUUACCGCUAUAGGAUGGGGAUGCGUCUGAUUAGGUUGUUGGCGGGGUAACGGCCCACCAAGCCUACGAUCAGUAGGGGUUCUGAGAGGAAGGUCCCCCACAUUGGAACUGAGACACGGUCCAAACUCCUACGGGAGGCAGCAGUGAGGAAUAUUGGUCAAUGGACGGAAGUCUGAACCAGCCAAGUAGCCGUGCAGGAUGACGGCCCUAUGGGUUGUAAACUGCUUUUAUAUAGGGAUAAAGUCGGGGACGUGUCCCCGUUUGUAGGUACUAUAUGAAUAAGGACCGGCUAAUUCCGUGCCAGCCGCUGC